Molecule: RNA transcript, 1176 nt
Organism: Hylaeus anthracinus
Lineage: Eukaryota; Metazoa; Arthropoda; Insecta; Hymenoptera; Colletidae
Exons: 3
Source: RefSeq, a predicted model, not a curated record
GCUCGGGAGCGGCAAAUGUUGUUGUAACAGCGGCAGCUAACAACUGACCGGGAGUGGUGACUCCUUACCAUAGCACUGAGAGCCCAUGCUGCUCGGGAGAGGUAAGAACCGGGCGUGGAGGGGGUAACUCGUACCGCGACCGGAAGGCUGUCUGCGAGAUCAUAAGCGCCCGAAUGCAACGCACCGUUUGAUCUUUGUCGAAUCUUAUUGUUAGAUGGGUUUACUAAUUGCCGCAAUGAGUUGGCGAACUAUUCGCGUGUGAAUAUCGAUCACGAAAAUAAAGCUGAAAAGUCCCUCGCAGGGUCUUUGUGCUAAAGUUCCGAUAGCUCGCGUUUAGGGAAGGAAUAUCAAACGACACCGUCAAAGUACAGACCGCGCCCAUUUGACGGCGAAUGCCGAGCGAUUAUCGGCGAGUGGGCUUUGUGUCUUGACGCGGAGCCGCGAGUCGGGUGCGAAAAGAAGAAACCGCGCGACAAUAACCCAAAGGAGGACACAUGCCAAAGGCACAUGGCGAAUCUCGAAGGUUCGACGGAGUUUUGGUGGAAGACUCAGGAGGGGAUCAGGAGUUUUAUAUGCUCAAAAUUAUUGAAUGUGAAACUGGAAAGUUCAGAACGGACAUCCCUGGGACGUACAAAAUUUAGGUCCCAUGGACGUACGUAGGACGUUCCGGGCGGACGUCCCUGGGACGUACAGAAUUUAGGUCCCAUGGUUGUUCGCAGGACGUUCCGGUCGGACGUCGGACGAUUGGACGUAAGCUGGACAUAAAAUGGACGUCCAUGGAACGUCCGGUGCUAUCUGGGUAAAGAUCUCUUCCCUGUAUUCAGACUCAUUUUUGACUUCUUAAAGACAACAUCUCACGUAAAAUGUCUAUCCAAGGUAGUGAUGUGUGGAAUUUCUUCGUGCCAGUAAACAAUACUGGAUAUGCUACUUGCAAAAUAUGCAAAAAGAAAUUAUCGUAUAAAACAACUACGACAAAUUUAAAAAAACAUUUGUGUUCAGUGCAUCCUACUAUUUCACUAGCAUGGAGACAAAAACACAGUCAUCACAGUCCGCAACUGAUCCUGAUAAUCCAGAAGUUCCUCAAACUGGACCAAGCAAUAUUAUCAUAUUGCCAACAACUCAAGACAGUUCAGAACAUACUACAAAUUCUCAACCUGGUCCAAGUAACGUAUUGCC